Molecule: transfer RNA, 71 nt
Filed under: Ipomoea nil (Japanese morning glory)
Lineage: Eukaryota; Viridiplantae; Streptophyta; Magnoliopsida; Solanales; Convolvulaceae
Rfam family: tRNA
About the family: Transfer RNA (tRNA) molecules are approximately 80 nucleotides in length. Their secondary structure includes four short double-helical elements and three loops (D, anti-codon, and T loops).
Source: Rfam by way of RNAcentral
GCACCAGAGGUCUAGUUGUAAAAUAGUACCUUGGCACGGUAUAUACCCGUGUUCGAUUCCCGGUUGGUGUA